GACGAACGCUGGCGGCGUGCUUAACACAUGCAAGUCGAACGGAAAGGCCCUGCUUUUGUGGGGUGCUCGAGUGGCGAACGGGUGAGUAACACGUGAGUAACCUGCCCUUGACUUUGGGAUAACUUCAGGAAACUGGGGCUAAUACCGGAUAGGAGCUCCUGCUGCAUGGUGGGGGUUGGAAAGUUUCGGCGGUUGGGGAUGGACUCGCGGCUUAUCAGCUUGUUGGUGGGGUAGUGGCUUACCAAGGCUUUGACGGGUAGCCGGCCUGAGAGGGUGACCGGCCACAUUGGGACUGGGGUACGGGCCAGACUCCUACGGGAGGCAGCAGGGGGGAAUAUUGCACAAUGGGCGGAAGCCUGAUGCAGCAACGCCGCGGGCGGGAUGACGGCCUUCGGGGUGGAAACCGCUUUCGCCUGUGACGAAGCGUGAGUGACGGUAAUGGGGAAAGAAGCACCGGCUAACUACGUG
RNAcentral lists this ribosomal RNA (468 nucleotides) under uncultured bacterium. RNAcentral's name for it is "partial 16S ribosomal RNA". It matches the Rfam family "Bacterial small subunit ribosomal RNA", at positions 28 to 507 of the family's 1533-position model. The record is from RNAcentral.